RNAcentral lists this non-coding RNA (109 nucleotides) under unclassified sequences. Its description in RNAcentral is "EGFOA RNA". It matches the Rfam family "EGFOA RNA". The record is from Rfam by way of RNAcentral.
GGCUUCCCAGAUUUUGUCCCGUCGUAGAUGGUAGGCAGUCAAAAUUCGUGAUUGAAUGGUUAGUAAAGCUACACCUGGGUGACCGAACACUAUUGUUUGAAUGACUGUA